Molecule: ribosomal RNA, 274 nt
Filed under: uncultured bacterium
Lineage: Bacteria
Description: partial 16S ribosomal RNA
Rfam family: Bacterial small subunit ribosomal RNA
Source: RNAcentral
AUACGGAGGGGGUUAGCGUUGUUCGGAAUUACUGGGCGUAAAGCGUACGUAGGCGGAUUGGAAAGUAUGGGGUGAAAUCCCAGGGCUCAACCCUGGAACUGCCUCAUAAACUCCCAGUCUAGAGUUCGAGAGAGGUGAGUGGAAUUCCGAGUGUAGAGGUGAAAUUCGUAGAUAUUCGGAGGAACACCAGUGGCGAAGGCGGCUCACUGGCUCGAUACUGACGCUGAGGUACGAAAGCGUGGGGAGCAAACAGGAUUAGAAACCCUAGUAGUCC